This 253-nucleotide ribosomal RNA is filed under the name uncultured bacterium. Its description in RNAcentral is "partial 16S ribosomal RNA". It matches the Rfam family "Bacterial small subunit ribosomal RNA", at positions 524 to 776 of the family's 1533-position model. The record is from RNAcentral.
UACGGAGGGGGCUAGCGUUGUUCGGAAUUACUGGGCGUAAAGCGCACGUAGGCGGCUUUGCAAGUCAGAGGUGAAAGCCUGCAGCUCAACUGCGGAACUGCCUUCGAUACUGCCGAGCUUGAGUGCAGGAGGGGUGAUCGGAACUCCAGGUGUAGCGGUGAAAUGCGUAGAUAUCUGGAGGAACACCGGAGGCGAAGGCGGAUCACUGGACUGCCACUGACGCUGAGGCGCGAAAGCUAGGGGAGCAAACAGG